Molecule: transfer RNA, 74 nt
Filed under: Ignavibacteria bacterium
Lineage: Bacteria; Pseudomonadati; Ignavibacteriota; Ignavibacteria
Description: tRNA-Pro
Rfam family: tRNA
About the family: Transfer RNA (tRNA) molecules are approximately 80 nucleotides in length. Their secondary structure includes four short double-helical elements and three loops (D, anti-codon, and T loops). Further hydrogen bonds mediate the characteristic L-shaped molecular structure. tRNAs have two regions of fundamental functional importance: the anti-codon, which is responsible for specific mRNA codon recognition, and the 3' end, to which the tRNAs corresponding amino acid is attached (by aminoacyl-tRNA synthetases). tRNAs cope with the degeneracy of the genetic code in two manners: having more than one tRNA (with a specific anti-codon) for a particular amino acid; and 'wobble' base-pairing, i.e. permitting non-standard base-pairing at the 3rd anti-codon position.
Source: RNAcentral
CGGGAUGUAGAUCAGUUGGCUAGAUCGCAUGCAUGGGGUGCAUGAGGCCGGAGGUUCGAGUCCUCUCAUCCCGA